UCCUCUAUUUUAGACAAUCGCGCAUACUUUGUAUUCUUACAGAGAAGUGAGGAAAGUCCGGACUCCAUGAGAGCGCGGAUGCCCGGAGAAAGUCCGGGGUAAAACUUACGUAAGUAUUUUUUACAGGAAGUGUUACAGAAAAGAAGACCGCCCUGAGUUUAUCUCAAGGUAAGGGUGAAACGGCAGGGUAAGAGCUGCCAUCCGGCGGGCAAUUGUCGGAUUGACAAACUCAUCCGGAGCAAGGCCAAGUAUAGGAAGCAUAAACAGCGCUCGUUUAAAUUGCUUCCGGGGUAGGCCGCAAAAAAUUAUUACAGUAAUGUUUUAAUUAAGAUAAAUGAUUGUCACUCGCCAGUGUGCGUUUACAGAAUCCGGCUUAUUAAAUAGGGGAGAUU
RNAcentral lists this RNase P RNA (392 nucleotides) under Bacteroidota bacterium. Its description in RNAcentral is "Bacteroidetes bacterium (activated sludge metagenome) RNase P RNA component class A". It matches the Rfam family "Bacterial RNase P class A". Rfam says of the family: Ribonuclease P (RNase P) is a ubiquitous endoribonuclease, found in archaea, bacteria and eukarya as well as chloroplasts and mitochondria. Its best characterised activity is the generation of mature 5'-ends of tRNAs by cleaving the 5'-leader elements of precursor-tRNAs. Cellular RNase Ps are ribonucleoproteins. Lineage: Bacteria; Pseudomonadati; Bacteroidota. The record is from RNAcentral.